UGAUGAUUUUCACUUACAUAGAGUACUAAUUUGAUUAAGGAAAAAUCAUGUUCAUUCAUAAUUUUCAUUUUAAAAGUGUAUUCAUUCCUUCUGCAAAUCCAUACUGUCAUGCCUAUUCCCCAAUAUCGUCAACGCGGAUAGUUCGUUAGUCGAAAAUACUGAAUAAUUAAACAAACCAAAUGGCAUCACUGGUGGUUCUUUUUUCCACUCCGCUAAACUGUCAUCUCAAACAAAAACAAAUGGAUCAUACAACUGCUAUGAAUGCAUUCGACUCGUUUGCUUCCAUCAAUCGGUAAGAAAAAAAGAUGAUGAUGAAAAAUGAUUUCUCCCAUCACCACAGUGCGGAUGAAAAGAUGAUUUCUCCCAUCACCACAGUGCGGAUUUCCACUUCUAUCACAGCAGCCAACAACAUCCGUUUUCCUGCAGCAGUAACCUCCAACCCCUGUUGGCAAUGCCGGCGGACAGCAUCAACAGCAGCAGCAGCAGAAUUUGACCAUGGUAUGGUAUUGCGAAGAACUUUCCCCAUUUACCCAUUCCGUGCUUCGCGCACAUUCAAAAAUCCUCUUCAGACACGAAAACUCAACGACAAGGAGGUAUUUAUCAACUUGCUCAGCUGAAUUACCACCCCGGAGGAACCCGAAUGCACUGAUUCCGUAGUAUAGUAGAAUGAAAAUAGGCGAGGUAAGCGAACGCAAUCGCAUGAAAUUUUAAUGUUCGCAUUUUUAUCCGGAUCAUACAACUGCUAUGAAUACAUCCGACUCAAUCAAUCGGCGAGUGAGAAAGAUGAUUUCCCUCAUCACCACAUUGUUUAUUUCCUCUUCUGUCACACCAGCCAACAGCAUCAGCUUUCCCGCAGCAGUAUCCUUUAAGUCCAGGGUGCUAUUCCGGGGAACAGCAUCAACAGCAACAGCAGCAGAACCUGGCCAUCGAUAGUAUUUCGAGCAAUUUUCCCCAUCGGAGAUCCCGUGCUUCACGCACAUUGAAGAAUCCUCAGCCACAUAUCUGUGUCAUCAAGGGCAAGGAGGUAUUCAUCAAUGUACUCAGUCGGAUUUGAAUCGUCAAUCCAGACAACCCGGGUGCACCGAUUCCAUUAUAUACAUUAUUAUUUUUAUUAUACAUGGAUUUUUAUUAUUUUUUUCAAUAAAAUGAUUAACAUCGA
Molecule: long non-coding RNA, 1159 nt
Organism: Toxorhynchites rutilus septentrionalis
Lineage: Eukaryota; Metazoa; Arthropoda; Insecta; Diptera; Culicidae
Exons: 3
Source: RefSeq, a predicted model, not a curated record